ACCCUGAUCCACCAUGCCGCGUGAAGGAUUAAGGCCCUAUGGGUUGUAAACUUCUUUUAUAAGGGAAAAAACCCCUCUACGUGUAGAGGGUUGAUGGUACUUUGUGAAUAAGGGUCGGCUAACUUCGUGCCAGCAGCCGCGGUAAUACGAAGGACCCAAGCGUUAUCCGGAUUUACUGGGUUUAAAGGGUGCGUAGGUGGACUUGUAAGUCAGUGGUGAAAUCCCCAAGCUCAACUUGGGAACUGCCAUUGAUACUGCUAGUCUUGAGUAUAGUUGAGGUAGGCGGAAUAUGUCAUGUAGUGGGUGAAAUACUUAGAUAUGACAUAGAACACCGAUUGCGAAGCAGCUUGCUAAGCUAUAACUGACACUGAUGCACGAAAGCGUGGGGAGCAAACAGGAUUAGAUACCCUGGUAGUCCACGCCCUAAACGAUGAUAACUCGAU
RNAcentral lists this ribosomal RNA (443 nucleotides) under uncultured bacterium. RNAcentral's name for it is "bacterial SSU rRNA". It matches the Rfam family "Bacterial small subunit ribosomal RNA", at positions 380 to 821 of the family's 1533-position model. The record is from RNAcentral.